UCUUCCGUAGUAUAGUGGUCAGUAUGCAAGCUUGUCAAAAAACAAUACGCUUGAGACCCGGGUUCAAUUCCCGGCGGGAGAG
This 82-nucleotide transfer RNA is filed under the name Fusarium solani. It matches the Rfam family "tRNA". Rfam says of the family: Transfer RNA (tRNA) molecules are approximately 80 nucleotides in length. Their secondary structure includes four short double-helical elements and three loops (D, anti-codon, and T loops). Further hydrogen bonds mediate the characteristic L-shaped molecular structure. tRNAs have two regions of fundamental functional importance: the anti-codon, which is responsible for specific mRNA codon recognition, and the 3' end, to which the tRNAs corresponding amino acid is attached (by aminoacyl-tRNA synthetases). tRNAs cope with the degeneracy of the genetic code in two manners: having more than one tRNA (with a specific anti-codon) for a particular amino acid; and 'wobble' base-pairing, i.e. permitting non-standard base-pairing at the 3rd anti-codon position. Lineage: Eukaryota; Fungi; Ascomycota; Sordariomycetes; Hypocreales; Nectriaceae. The record is from Rfam by way of RNAcentral.